Molecule: long non-coding RNA, 760 nt
Filed under: Sorghum bicolor (sorghum)
Lineage: Eukaryota; Viridiplantae; Streptophyta; Magnoliopsida; Poales; Poaceae
Description: long non-coding RNA (SBIC_LNC016673)
Source: RNAcentral
CCUAUGGCUUCUGUACUUGUAACAGGUAGCACAUGCUCGUCAUUUGCUGCUUGUUACUGCCUAACCACUUGCGUGCUGUUUGGUAACGUCCACGGUAAUGCAAAUGCAAAGAAAAAUAGUUUAAUCAUCUCUCCGGCCUGCGGUGACGUCCGCAGUUUUAAGUUGUUUACGUUUGCCUUACCAAGCAUAGAACCAUAGAACUCGUUGGUUCACGAACAACGAUAGGAUUUUUUUUUUUUGGCGAGGAACAAGGACAGAAUUAGUGUAAGCAGGAGAUUUGGUUCAUGCAAGUUAGGCAGCAGCUACUAUAUGGCGCACUGGCUGGUGAGAUCGUAGGAUUUGUCGAUUUGAUCUUGUCAAUCCCGGCCCCUCCAAUUCUCUUGGAUUUGGGAUUAAGGUCUUGUUUAGUUCUCACUUAAAAACUUUUCAUUCCAUCACAUCAAAUAUUUGAAUAAAUACAUAAAACAUUAAAUAUAGAUUAACAAAUAAUUAAUUAUACAGUUUACAUGUAUUAUACAAGACAAAUCAUUUAAGUCUAAAUAAUUUAUGAUUAAAUACUAAUUGUUAUAAUUAUAAAUGUACUAUAAUAAAAAACUUUUCUUUUCUUGAACUAAACAAGACGUUAAUCAAAUAACACUGUAAGCAUACACAGAAGCAGGGGAGAAAGCAAAACAGAGAGAGAGAGAUAGGGUAGCGAGGUGACUUCUCACUUCUCAGGCGAAGACAGAAGGCACGGGCGGCAGCGCGUCCUUUGCAGCAG